RNAcentral lists this long non-coding RNA (796 nucleotides) under Homo sapiens (human). RNAcentral's name for it is "HSALNT0054580". The record is from RNAcentral. Lineage: Eukaryota; Metazoa; Chordata; Mammalia; Primates; Hominidae.
UUCCACUUUCUCUCUCCUCUCUGGUGACUGGCUUCCAAAACGCCUGAAGCAUUAAAUCCUUGUUGGACAUCUCUGAGCCCAAAGCUGGAAAACUCUCAGCAUCUAGGCCCCCACUUGCCUUGGGAAUGACAAGCCCUCACCCUGAUCUGCCAUCUCAGCUGAACACUUCCUGUCUCCUCAAGGAAACUUAGUAUCUACCUUUCUCUUCCUCUCACUUCCCAAACUGCUCAGAAAACGGCGGGGGGGAAGAAAACCCACCUGGGGGUCUCAGAGCCUUGGUCGGCACGUGGAGAGGUAACGUGAAUUUCCCCUAUAUUCAAGAGAAAAGGAAGAAGGUCUGGGAGCUCACCUGAAAUGCCAGGCUCACUUUUAGUAACUGCUGGCAUCCAGUGCGGCAGGGGCCGAGCGCUCCAGUGCUGGGAGCUGAAAGAACAGUCACCCCUGCCCAGGAAAUAACCACUGAGCCAACCAUCAUGCCCUGAUUACCGUCCUCAGGGAAAGCCUACCGGUCCCUCUAAAGCACCCUCGUCCCAUUCUCAAACCCCCUGUGGAAAUCAGAAGCCAAACCUAGCUUUACAAUGUCAGGUCUCUUCGCUAGAGCUCUGGUCACGCCCCUCUUCCUGGAGUACUCCAAUCACACUUGGCGCCCAGAAACUGCCGCUGCCGCUGACCUUGGGCAGACUGCGCCCUCCCUCUAGCCUCGGCUCCCCCUCCGCUCAGAGCCUUUCUCUUCGCCCACCUCCUCACGGAGCCCCACGCACGUCUGUAACUUAAAGGACGCUAAAGUUUGCAGCCC